AGGCAAUAUGUCGGGCUUGUGCAG
RNAcentral lists this non-coding RNA (24 nucleotides) under Arabidopsis thaliana (thale cress). Lineage: Eukaryota; Viridiplantae; Streptophyta; Magnoliopsida; Brassicales; Brassicaceae. The record is from RNAcentral.